This 1599-nucleotide long non-coding RNA is filed under the name Solanum tuberosum (potato). RNAcentral describes it as "long non-coding RNA (STUB_LNC010335)". Lineage: Eukaryota; Viridiplantae; Streptophyta; Magnoliopsida; Solanales; Solanaceae. The record is from RNAcentral.
GCUUUGGGUGGCGCCGCCUUCAAUCCUGCCGGUACGGCGGCGUUUUAUGCUGCCGGAGUUGGAAAUGAUUCGCUCUUCUCCGUUGCUGCUCGAUUUCCUGCUCAGGUAUUGAUUUUAGCUUGAAUUUUAAGUAAUAAUGAAAGUUAGCCUAGUUUGAUACAACAAAUUAGAAAUAAUUUAAACUUGUAUAAAAUUGAACAAGUAAAUAUAUGUGUUUUGCUUAACAUUCCAUGUGACAAUUCACAAUUCACGUCCUACGUAAUAUCCUAGAUGUACUAUGCCACAUAUGAUGUGUAUGUCUAUUUUUUUUUUAUAUGUACUUGAUCAAUUUAUAUAAACUUAAGUCUCUACUUAUGCACAUAAAAAAUAUAAGGACGGUCAAAUUAAAUAAGAAUAUUCAUGUGUAAAGAAUUAAAAGUACUCCCCACCAAAAUGAUAAGAUGGUUCAUGGCUUUUAGUCAAGGAAUAUAAUGAACAUUACCAAACAAAAUAGAAUUCAAAGAAAUACUAAUCAACUAAAAGCAGCCAACUAUUGUCCUAAUCCUUACCAAACACUCAUCAAUACUUACCAUUAUAGUUUACACAGGAUUCAUUCACUAUAGUUUCAAAAUUAAAUUAAACAUCUAAACCUCAUAAAUAAAGUAUCCAAUAGGAAAUGAGAAAAGGUACAAAUAUGUAAUUAUUCAACUUUAUCUUUAGUUAUACUUAUUUCAUUUCAUACUCCCUUUGCUUUUAAUUGACCAUAUUAAUUUUAGUUGAUAAUUGAAGUGUAAAAAUCGCGAAAAAAGUGUUACUUCACCUUUUUUAAUGCUAUCACACCUAAUUAUUAUUUAAUUCCAUAUUCCCAACGAAAUAUACUUCUAAUUAAUCUCUAUUAGGUUAAUCAUCUCACUAUCCUUCUUCUUCUUCUUCCUCUCUUUCACCGAGUGGGAGAGAUUUUCAGUUUUCAGAAGCUAAGAAAACUCAAAAAUUUCAAAGAUUUUGUAUUCAAUGGGUGCUGUAAAAGCAGCUGUGGGUGAUUUUGUUUUGACAUUGAUGUGGGUUUUUUGUUCUUCCACUCUGGGGAUUUUCACUUACCUUAUUGCUACUGCUUUUGGGAUUGCUCAAGGAAUGGCUUCGCUAUUUAUUACUACUGUGCUUCUUUUUGUGCUCUUCUUUGUCUUUGGGAUUAUCGGCGAUGCUUUGGGUGGUGCCGCUUUUAAUCCUGCUGGUACAGCGGCGUUUUAUGCUGCUGGGGUUGGAAAAGAUUCUCUUUUUACCGUUGCCACCCGAUUCCCUGCUCAGGUUUUUGAUUUUGUUUCUUUUUUUUUAAAAAAAAAAAACCUUUUCUGGGUCCAGUUCUUACAUGGUUGAUUUUGCUUGAAUGGAGAAAUAUGAUCAGUGAAUGAGGAUUUGUAUAGUCGAUCCGGACUUGUUUAUGACUGAGGCGUAGCUGUUGUUUAUUUUGCUUGAAUUUUGAGGAAUAAUGGAAGUAGAGUUUUAAUUUUCUGAAAAAUCAACCUAUCAUAAUAGCAUUUGUGGAUUCCACUUUUUAAAGUGAACUUUUAAAAACCUUUUCUGGGUCUAGUUGUUAGGUAUUUACAUGGUUGAGCUUGCUUG